AAACGAUGAGUGCUAAGUGUUGGAGGGUUCCGCCUUUCAGUGCUGCAGCUAACGCAUUAAGCACUCCGCUGGGGAGUACGACCGCAAGGUUGAAACUCAAAGGAAUUGACGGGGGCCCGCACAAGCGGUGGAGCAUGUGGUUUAAUUCGAAGCAACGCGAAGAACCUUACCAGGUCUUGACAUCCUUUGACCACUCUAGAGAUAGAGCUUUCCCUUCGGGGACAAAGUGACAGGUGGUGCAUGGUUGUCGUCAGCUCGUGUCGUGAGAUGUUGGGUUAAGUCCCGCAACGAGCGCAACCCUUAUUGUUAGUUGCCAUCAUUCAGUUGGGCACUCUAGCGAGACUGCCGGUGACAAACCGGAGGAAGGUGGGGAUGACGUCAAAUCAUCAUGCCCCUUAUGACCUGGGCUACACACGUGCUACAAUGGGAAGUACAACGAGUCGCUAGGCCGCGAGGUCAUGCAAAUCUCUUAAAGCUUCUCUCAGUUCGGAUUGCAGGCUGCAACUCGCCUGCAUGAAGCCGGAAUCGCUAGUAAUCGCGGAUCAGCACGCCGCGGUGAAUACGUUCCCGGGCCUUGUACACACCGCCCGUCACACCACGAAAGUUUGUAACACCCGAAGUCGGUGAGGUAACCUUUUGGAGCCAGCCGCCUAAGGUGGGAUAGAUGAUUGGGGUGAAGUCGUAACAAGGUAACCAAGGGCGAAUUCUG
Molecule: ribosomal RNA, 709 nt
Filed under: uncultured Enterococcus sp.
Lineage: Bacteria; Bacillati; Bacillota; Bacilli; Lactobacillales; Enterococcaceae
Description: bacterial SSU rRNA
Rfam family: Bacterial small subunit ribosomal RNA
Source: RNAcentral